Molecule: ribosomal RNA, 513 nt
Filed under: uncultured bacterium
Lineage: Bacteria
Description: bacterial SSU rRNA
Rfam family: Bacterial small subunit ribosomal RNA
Source: RNAcentral
GUUUGAUCAUGGCUCAGGACGAACGCUGGCGGCGUGCCUAAUACAUGCAAGUCGAGCGGACCAAAGGGAGCUUGCUCCUGGAGGUUAGCGGCGAACGGGUGAGUAACACGUGGGCAACCUGCCUGUAAGACUGGGAUAACAUCGAGAAAUCGGUGCUAAUACCGGAUAAUAAAAAGAACUGCAUGGUUCUUUUUUGAAAGAUGGUUUCGGCUAUCACUUACAGAUGGGCCCGCGGCGCAUUAGCUAGUUGGUGAGGUAACGGCUCACCAAGGCGACGAUGCGUAGCCGACCUGAGAGGGUGAUCGGCCACACUGGGACUGAGACACGGCCCAGACUCCUACGGGAGGCAGCAGUAGGGAAUCUUCCGCAAUGGACGAAAGUCUGACGGAGCAACGCCGCGUGAGUGAUGAAGGUUUUCGGAUCGUAAAACUCUGUUGUUAGGGAAGAACAAGUGCCGUUCGAAAGGGCGGCACCUUGACGGUACCUAACGAGAAAGCCACGGCUAACUACGUG